AAUGAAGGUUGAACAGGUAAAGUGAGGACCGUACAGUGGAAAGCGAGAAUCCUGUGUGCCCUGAAGGUAAUGAAGAAGCCUCUGCAAAAGAGUCUUUUCUGUCAGUCUUAAGGUCUCUGUUUUAACGUUAAUGCUGGCUUGCUGUGCCUGAAUUCCAAGGGAGGCGUGUAUUAUGAGGCAUGGCCAACCCCCACCCGUCAUUGCCUGAACUGGUUUUUCAGGUUAACUUAAGAAUGCCCUUGGGCAAGCAGAGGGUCCAUCAGUAGGUUGGAGGGUUUCGAAUUUUACUGUUGGUUUGCAGAGGUCUGAAAGAAACAUGCACCAGCUGUUCUCUCUGAAGACUUCUACCUGUGAGGUCUCAUUUACAUAACAAGACCGUGGUUGUCAGCCAGGUCUCCCACUCCCAUAACCUGUUAUGCCACAAUCCAAACCCCCAUUCUGUAACCUCAAGAUGGUAUAUAAGCUUCUGAACCCCAUUUGGGGCUUCAGCAAAAUCACUCUAGUUCUCCCCCAUGUGCAUGUUAAUAAAUUUGUAUGCCCUUUCUCCAAUUAAUCUGCCUUUUGUCAGUUGACUUUUCAGUGAACCUUCAGAGAACAAAAAGGAAGCUUUCCAUUGGCUACUACAGUGGCUUUAAUGGAAGUAAAGUCAUCAACGUUUAUUUUUGACAAAAUCACAGUUUAAUUGGCAGUAUAUUUGUUUUCUUUUUGUUUUAUUUGAGAUGGAGUCUCACUCUGUCGCCCAGGCUAGAGAGCAAUGGCGCGAUCUUGGCUCACUGCAGCCUCCGCCUCCCCAGUUCAAGCAUUCGCCUGCCUCAGCCUCCCGAGCAGUUGAGUAGUAGUAUAUUUGUAAUGGUACAUAAAAUAAUGUCUGUUUUUAAAUAAACAUUUACAUUGUGAAUCAAAAGUUAUCUCAACUCUCCAUCAAUUUUUUUUUUCUUUUUUGAGAUGGCAUCUUGCUCUGUCACCCAGGCUGGAGUGCAGUGGCUGCAACCUCUGCCUCCUGGGCAAGUGAUCCUCUUGCCUCAGCCUCCUGAGCAGCUGGAGUUAUAGGUGUGUGCCACCACACCCAGCUAAUUUUUGUAUCUUUGGUAGAGACAGGGUUUCGCCAUGUUGGCCAGGCUUGUCUCAAAUUCCCGACCUCAGGUGAUCUGCCCGCCUCAGCUUCCCAAAGUGCUGGGAUUAUAGGCAUGAGCCACCGCAUCCGGCAUCCAUCAGUUUAGAAAGUUUAUUUCACCAAGGUUAAGGUUGCGCCCAUGGCAGCCCCAGAAGGCCCUGACAACAUGUGCCCUAGGUGGUCAGGGUACAGUUUGCUUUUGUACAUGUUAGGGAGACAUGAGACAUCAAUCAGUAUGUGUAAUAUGUACUUUAGUCAGGUAAAGCUGAACUUGAGGCAAGGGCUUCCAGGUCAUGAGUAGAUAAGAGGCAAAAGAUUGCAUUCUUUUGAGUCCUUGUUCAGCCUUCCACUGAAUACACAAUUUAGGCUGGCUCAGUGAAUCAUCAUUUUUACAUAAACAGUAGGGGAGGGGAAACAAUCAUAUAUGCAUUUGUCUCAGGUGCACCUUAGAGGGAUAACUUUUGAGUUCUGUCCGUCCUUUUUCCACAAGGAAUUUCCUUGUAUGCAAAUUUUAAGGGAGGUAUGUAGCCUCUUAUCUUGGUAGCUAUAUCUUAUUUAGGAAUAGAAUGGGAGGCAGGUUUGUCUGACAUAGUUCCCAGCUUGACUUUACCCUUUUAAGGGAGGAGAUCACCCCUCAUAUUGUCUUAUGCCCAGUUUCUGCCUCCAAAGAAAGAAGAAGUAAAAGCUAAAAGGCAGAAAUGAAAUCCACAAGCAGACAGCUGAACGCCACACCCUGGGCCUGGUAGUCAAAGAUCGACCCCUGACCUAAUCAGUUAUGUUAUCUAUAGAUUACAGACAUUGUAUAGAAAAGCACUGUGAAAAUUCCUAUCCUAUUUUGCUCCAAUUUAAUUACCAGUGCAUGCAGCCCCCAGUCACGUAUCCCCUGCUUGUUCAAUCGAUCACGACCCUGUCAUGUGCACCCCCUUAGAGUCAUGAGCCCUUAAGAGGGACAGGAAUUGCUCACUUGGGGAGCUCGCCUCUUGAGACAGGAGUCUUGCCAAUGCGCCCAGCCAAAUAAACCCCUUCCUUCUUUAACUCGGUGUCUGAGGAGUUUUGUCUGCGACUUGUGGAACAUCCCUGUGGGGGACCCCGACCAGCCCGAGUGACGUGGAUCCUGAGAGCGCUCCCAAGUAGGCAUUUGCCCCGGUGGGACACCUCGCCAGAGCAGUGUGUGUCAGGCCCCCAUGGAGAAUCAAUGCAGGAGCUGAACACCGGGAAGGAACGGGCACUUGGAGGCUGGACAUCUAAAACUUGCCACCAUGUAAGAAGUGCCUUUCACCUCUCACCGUGAUUCUGAGGCCUCCCCAGCCAUGUGGAGCUCCAGGUGUGGUGGCGCAUGCCUGUAGUUCCAGACUCAACAGGCUGAUGCAGAAAGAUCAUUUGAGACAAGGAGGUUAAGGCUGCAGUGAGCUGUGAUUGCACCACUGUACUCCAGGCUGGAUGACAGAGAAAUGCUUCAUUUUGAAAAAAAAAAAGAAAAAAAAUUCUUAGAUGGGACCCUCUGUAACAAAUGACAGAUUAAAAUGAGAAAAAUGUGGAAAAGUCUGAAAACAUGUAUACCUUAUGGAUACAUGGGAGACACUCAGGGAAAAAUGAGUAAAUCUCCAACAAUUGGCUUUCAAUUCAAGUGUAAAUACUAUCUUCAACUUAAAGAAGAUUUGAGGUGCAGUAAUGGGAAGGUAACCAGCAAAAGGACAGUAGGUAAAGUUUGAUAUACAGACUUAAGUGCGUGCAUUCUCCGUUGAUAAGACUCUUCAGUGAUUUAGUUAUCCUUCUCUUCUUGGUGGAAAGAGAGAUAGGUAGCUUUUAAAUGGGGAUUUCCUUUAUAGAUGUUAAUUUUCCUUACACAAGAGUAACUUCUACUCUGUUUUCAGAACUUCUUUCAUAGCAUUUUUUCAAAAUAAUCAUCUUGGAAUAAUUCUUAAGCCAAAGAGACAUAUUUUGGGUUGGCAUAUUCUGGAUUCCUACCAUUAUAUUUUGAGGUGGCAUAUUAUGGUCUUCUACACUGUGUUCCACCAGCAAUGAAGAGUUCUUGUCUUUCCUCCAGCAAUUUGUCAUUUUUUUAGAGUUUAGCAAUUCUAACAGAUAUAUACCAGCUGUGCUAUCUCAUUGUGGUUUUCAGUUCUGUACUAUGUUGAGCAUCUUUUUGUAUGUUUACUUGCCAUCUGUAGAUCUUCUUUGGUGAGGUGUCUGUUCAGAUCUGUGUGCAUUUUUAAUUGGGCUGUUUAACUUAUUGUUUAGUUUUAAGGGUUUUUUUUUUGUAUAUUUUGAAUACAAAUUCUCAGAUUUGAAUUUUGCAAAUAUUGUCUUUCAGUAUGUGGCUUGUUUUUUUUUAUUCUCUUAAUAAGAUCUUUUCCAGGGUGUAAACUUUUAAUAUUAAAAAAUCCACAU
Molecule: long non-coding RNA, 3505 nt
Filed under: Macaca mulatta (Rhesus monkey)
Lineage: Eukaryota; Metazoa; Chordata; Mammalia; Primates; Cercopithecidae
Description: lncRNA (ENSMMUG00000055581.1)
Source: RNAcentral